Molecule: long non-coding RNA, 3362 nt
Filed under: Gossypium barbadense (sea-island cotton)
Lineage: Eukaryota; Viridiplantae; Streptophyta; Magnoliopsida; Malvales; Malvaceae
Description: long non-coding RNA (GBAR_LNC001121)
Source: RNAcentral
CUACUUGUCCUCAGCACCAGUCCUUCAAAUCUGGUUUUACUAUUGUGUUUAUGCAGUUUAAUUGAUGAUGCAUGUAACAAAGGAAUACCCGUGAUCAUCUUAACAGCAUACGGUAGAAGUGGAGAAAAAACUGCUCGGUAUGUCCUAGUGAUAUCCAAUAUUAUGCUAUGCAUUAUUUCUGGGCUAUAAGAGAUGUAAUUUUGCUAUGAUUCGAGUAUGCUACUAGCUUUUCUCUCCCUCUUUUCCAUCUAUAUUUUUUUGUAUAAGCAUGUUCUAUACAGCACCUUGUAAAACCAAAUCUCAAUGACACAGUUCAUCUAUACGAUGGAGUCAUUUUGAGACAUCCUUCUCAAUACCUCAGAAAUAUUGACGGCUUAAGCUAAUGUAUUUAACUUCAAACACUUACCAGAUUGCUAGAGUUCAAGAUGCUUUGUUGACUGCUUGCAAGCUUGCUAAUGUUUUCCCAUUUGGAUUGAAUGAAUAUAUAUUUGGAUUGAAGUUAAGUUAUAUAUUUUAUGAGAGCUAAAAUCUAAUUUUACCAUUGUAUUAGCUUAUAUCUUUAUAAACUUGAGGAAAUGCUUAAUGUCUUUUAAUUCCUUUAAUUAAUUAUAGGCCAACAAGAAGGUAGCAGAUGCUAAACUUGCAAAAUAUUUUCAAGCAUUUUUGAAAGAGUUUAUAUCUUUAUAAACUUGAUUUUGUGUUUAUGCAGUUUUAUUGAUGAAGCGAUCGCUUCGACUAAUAGUUUCGUUAAUCUUGAGAACAUUGAUAACAGAAUUAUCACUGAAGUUUUGGGUUCUGAAUGGUACGACCGGGUUUAAUUUCAAGGAUCUGGUGUUACCCCGACCCAAUAUUUUGGAUCUGUCUCCCAACAAUACAUGCCUUCCGGGAGUCAAACUCAAGCUGAAGUUCAGAGGUUAAGAGACCAGAUAGCUCAGAUGCAAGCGAGCACAGUUAAGCAAAUUAUCGAGGUUCAAAGAAAAUAUGAAGAACUCCAGCAAUAACUUAGAGUGGAGGCAGCAGAGAAGGAGGCAGCGGCAGCAGCGAGGGAGUCAGAGGCAGCAGCAAUGGCAGCAGAGCAGAGCAGAAAGUACGAAGAGCUCCAACUACAGCUUCAGUAAAUGAUGCAGAUGUUUCAACAGUCGCAAAAGCCGCCAUCUUAAACAUUAGUUUUCUCCUUGUAAAAAUGUUUUUAACAUUGUCACUGUUAGGAUUUUAACCCGAUUAAGCAACGAACAAGAAAAUAGCGAAAUAAAUUGAGAUAUUGAACACACAAAUUUAACGUGGAAAAACCCCUCCAAAGAGGAUAAAAAACCACGGGCAAAGAUAAUUUUACUAUAAUGGCAAAAGAACGAAGAGUACAAAAGAUGGAGAUAAAAAUUAAACCCCGAAAACCUGAAAACAAAGAGCCCACAAAACGUAAACACAAAAUUCUCUAAAUGUGUUAUGAGUUCUAAUUUCUAAUGGGUGUGUUUUCUAAGGUUGUAAAAGAGCCUAUUUAUAGGCUAAAUUCAUAGAUUAAAUAAUAAUAAAAUAAUCUAAACUAAUCAGUGUUUGAUUGAAAUAAGUAAACAAAGUUUAACUAAAAGAUUAUUUUUCAAAUCUGACUGAAAAUAGGAGUCAUAUUUAACAAAUCUCCACCUUGACUCAUGUUUUCACAAUGUCAUCUUUGCCAAAGCCCGCCACCAGCUUAUCUUGAACUAUGCAGAGAAUUAACUGAGUCGAAUUUGUGCUUAAAAACUGGAAGACUUCUAGCCUUCGACUUGUAUACUGUCAAAUCAAAACCAACUCGGGUUUGAUUUUCACGAACACAGUGCCCUAACUUUUAAAAACCUGCAUCUAAAAGAGAACCUCUCUUCAACGAAACAGUCAUAUAUUUUUCCCUCCUAUGACCAAGUUACCUCCGCUCCAAACAAGUUGACUUCAACUCCGUAACGGACGAGGGACGUCCGAUUUCACCGGUCACUGUAUAACCUUCCAGAAUAUAAAGACUGUCGGUUCUUUUACCUUUUAACAAAAUGAGAACUCCAGGAGAUACUUUAAUGCCGCUCGAGUCGAUGUUGAUUUUGCAUCCUUUCAAGUCUAAAAUACUUAAGGAGAUGAGAUUCUUUCGUAAAUCAGGUACAUACCUGACAUCUGAAAGUGUCCUAAUCAUCCCAUCAUGCAUCUUAAUUUUAACAGUACCAAUACCAAUUACCUUACUAGAUGAAUCGUUUCCCAUGCGCACAACUCCACCUUCAAUCGAACUGUAUGUGGAGAACCAUUCUUUAUUGGGACACAUGUGGAAAGAACAUCAUGAAUCUAGGAUCUACUCGGACGUGAGCUUGGUGUUAUCGCUUGUUGACACUAACAAGAAAUCAUCACCGUUUUUAUCGGCCAAAUUAGCACCAGCUACAUCUUCCUCGUUACUCUCAGCAGCUUUUUUAUUUCGCAGUUUAUAACAAUCUGCUUUGACGUGACCUAACUUUUUACAGUAGCGACACCUUUUAUCUCGUUUCUUUGAUGCUACCAAAACAGAAGCUUGCAUAUCUGUCUUGCUAUCCAAAUGAAGCUCAUUGAUGAGUUUGUCUCUACUCAACAAAUGACCCUUCACAUCUUCGAACGAGAGUUUGUCUCUACCAUAAAUCAGGGUCUCCCUGAAAGACUUGUAUGAAGGGGGUAAAGAGCACAAUAAUAACAUAGCCUGAUCUUCAUCGUCAAUAUGAACCUCAACAUUCUUUAAAUCAUUUAAAAGAGUAAUAAAUUGACUGAUGUGAUCUCUAAGAAGCUCACCUUCGUUCAUGUGAAAUGUAAAUAGACAUUGUUUCAACACUAAACGAUUAGCCAGAGACUUAGUCGUAUAAAGAGUUUCUAACCUUUUCCACAAGGCGGAUGAGGUUUUCUCCAUCAAUACCUCUUGCAAUACCGUAUUCGCAAGGCACAACUGGAUUGCAGACAAAGCCUUUUCAUCAAGCUCUUCCCGUUCUGUUUUAUUUAGAUUCUCAGGCUUUUUCCCGGUAACAACCUUUUUCAAGCCUGAGUGAACUAGAAUUGCCAUCAUCUGAACUUGCCACAGAUUGAAAUUUGUCUCACCAUCGAACUUCUCAAUUUCAAACCUUGUUCUUGCCAUCUCUGAACGGGCUGAUCUAUGAAAAUUGAACUAGCUCUAUACCACUUGUUAGGAUUUUAACCCGAUUAAGCAACGAACAAGAAAAUAGCGAAAUAAAUUGAGAAAUUGAACACACAAAUUUAACGUGGAAAAACCCCUCCAAAGAGGAUAAAAAACUACGGGCAAAGAUAAUUUUACUAUAAUGGCAAAAGAACGAAGAGUACAAAAGAUGGAGAUAAAAACUAAACCCCGAAAACCCGAAAACAAAGAACCCACA